CCCAGUAACGGCGAGUGAAGCGGCAACAGCUCAAAUUUGAAAUCUGGUCCCUAGGGCCCGAGUUGUAAUUUGUAGAGGAUGCUUUUGGUGAGGUGCCGCCCGAGUUCCCUGGAACGGGACGCCACAGAGGGUGAGAGCCCCGUCUGGCUGGCCGCCGAGCCUCUGUAAAGCUCCUUCGACGAGUCGAGUAGUUUGGGAAUGCUGCUCAAAAUGGGAGGUAUAUGUCUUCUAAAGCUAAAUAUUGGCCAGAGACCGAUAGCGCACAAGUAGAGUGAUCGAAAGAUGAAAAGCACCUUGAAAAGAGGGUUAAAUAGUACGUGAAAUUGUUGAAAGGGAAGCGCUUGUGACCAGACUUGGGCGCGGCGGAUCAUCCGGGGUUCUCUCCGGUGCACUUCGCCGCGUCUAGGCCAGCAUCAGUUCGUCGCGGGGGAAAAAGGCUUCGGGAACGUGGCUCCUCCGGGAGUGUUAUAGCCCGUUGCAUAAUACCCUGCGGUGGACUGAGGACCGCGCAUCUGCAAGGAUGCUGGCGUAAUGGUCACCAGCGACCCGUCUU
RNAcentral lists this ribosomal RNA (553 nucleotides) under Trichoderma sp. Its description in RNAcentral is "partial large subunit ribosomal RNA". It matches the Rfam family "Eukaryotic large subunit ribosomal RNA", at positions 79 to 655 of the family's 3401-position model. The record is from RNAcentral. Lineage: Eukaryota; Fungi; Ascomycota; Sordariomycetes; Hypocreales; Hypocreaceae.